AGGUGCAUAGCUCAGUUGGUAGAGCACUGGACUUUUAAUCCAUUGGUCUUGGGUUCAAAUCCCAAUACACCUA
The sequence is a transfer RNA, 73 nucleotides long. It matches the Rfam family "tRNA". Rfam says of the family: Transfer RNA (tRNA) molecules are approximately 80 nucleotides in length. Their secondary structure includes four short double-helical elements and three loops (D, anti-codon, and T loops). The record is from Rfam.